This 400-nucleotide transfer-messenger RNA is filed under the name Duncaniella sp. It matches the Rfam family "transfer-messenger RNA". From Rfam's summary of the family: Bacterial tmRNA, also known as 10Sa RNA or SsrA, is named for its dual tRNA and mRNA-like properties. Its role is to liberate the mRNA from a stalled ribosome. Lineage: Bacteria; Pseudomonadati; Bacteroidota; Bacteroidia; Bacteroidales; Muribaculaceae. The record is from RNAcentral.
GGGGUUGACCGGUUUUGACAGCGUGUAGAGGUGGUGAGUAAGCAUGCAGAGCAAUGAUGGCUACGCUCUUUAAUCAGGGACAUCAAAAAUUCAAAUGGCGAAAACAACUACGCUCUCGCUGCCUAAUUGAAGCACAGUAAAUUAGCUUUAUCUCUGCAACAGUUGCAGAGACGAGACAUCACCCGAUUGUCCAUUUCCCGAGACGGAUCGACAAGGUGGUGCAGGUAAAUCGGGAAUCGGGCGCCGAAAGCCUCGCGAAGCGCCCUAAACACUUAGAGGAUAAGGUAACGGUUGGUUGUCUUUGGCCUGCCGGUACACGAAAACCAAACGAAGAAUAAGCAUGUAGAAAGCUCAUUAGUUCCGCGUCUGGACGAGGGUUCGAAUCCCUCCAGCUCCACAA